GACGAACGCUGGCGGCGUGCUUAACACAUGCAAGUCGAACGGGCCCGCCCCUGUUUUUGGGGGUGGGUUGAGUGGCGAACGGGUGAGUAUCACGUGAGUAACCUGCCCCCUGCUCCUGGAUAACUGCUUGAAAGGGCGGCUAAUACGGGGUGUGCCGGCUGGUCCGCAUGAGCCUGGUCGGGAUAGUUUCAUCUUCGGGUGUUUCGGUUGGGGAUGGGCUCGCGGCCUAUCAGCUUGUUGGUGGGGUGAUGGCCCACCAAGGCGGUGACGGGUAGCCGGCCUGAGAGGGUGGGCGGCCAAACUGGGAAUGAGACACGGCCCAGAAGCCUGCGGGAGGCAGCAGUGGGGGGUAUUGCACAAUGGGUGGAAGCCUGAUGCAGCGACGUCGCGUGAGGGAUGGAGGCCUUCGGGUUGUGAACCUCUUUCUCCGGGGGUGAAGGCCCUGUCCGUUGCGGCGGGGUUGACGGUAGCCGGGUAUGAAGCGCCGGCUAGCUACGUG
This 499-nucleotide ribosomal RNA is filed under the name uncultured bacterium. RNAcentral's name for it is "partial 16S ribosomal RNA". It matches the Rfam family "Bacterial small subunit ribosomal RNA", at positions 28 to 507 of the family's 1533-position model. The record is from RNAcentral.